UAGGGAAUCUUCCGCAAUGGGCGAAAGCCUGACGGAGCCACGCCGCGUGAGUGAUGAAGGUCUUCGGAUCGUAAAACUCUGUUAUUAGGGAAGAACAAAUGUGUAAGUAACUAUGCACGUCUUGACGGUACCUAAUCAGAAAGCCACGGCUAACUACGUGCCAGCAGCCGCGGUAAUACGUAGGUGGCAAGCGUUAUCCGGAAUUAUUGGGGGUAAAGCGCGCGAAGGCGGUUUUUUAAGUCUGAUGUGAAAGCCCACGGCUCAACAGUGGGGGAUCAUUGGAAACAGGGAUACUUGAGUGCAGAAGAGGAAAGUGGAAUUCCAUGUGUGGCGGUGAAAUGCGCAGAGAUAUGGAGGAACACCAGUGGCGAAGGCGACUUUCUGGUCUGUAACUGACGAUGAUGGGCGAAAGCGUGGGGAUCAAACAGG
Molecule: ribosomal RNA, 429 nt
Filed under: Actinomycetes bacterium
Lineage: Bacteria; Bacillati; Actinomycetota; Actinomycetes
Description: Actinobacteria bacterium partial 16S ribosomal RNA
Rfam family: Bacterial small subunit ribosomal RNA
Source: RNAcentral